CACGACUCCAACCAGCCGAUAUGAUGUGACCACCAAGAUAGUCUCAGCUCAGUGAGAUCUUAGAGCAUGGGGAAUGAGCAUGAGUGAAGGAGAUAAGAUGCCAGCUUUACAGCAGGUACAGUAUAUGAAGUAACAGCGGAUGGUUGUUCAGAACGGACAAUGCAAUCUACACGUUGGCAGUGAACAGGUUUGAGUUAGCGAUGUAGGUACAGUGUUAACAAUGGAUUCUCAG
This 232-nucleotide long non-coding RNA is filed under the name Lepisosteus oculatus (spotted gar). Its description in RNAcentral is "lncRNA (ENSLOCG00000021882.1)". The record is from RNAcentral. Lineage: Eukaryota; Metazoa; Chordata; Actinopteri; Semionotiformes; Lepisosteidae.